This 407-nucleotide ribosomal RNA is filed under the name uncultured bacterium. RNAcentral describes it as "bacterial SSU rRNA". It matches the Rfam family "Bacterial small subunit ribosomal RNA", at positions 126 to 511 of the family's 1533-position model. The record is from RNAcentral.
CUGCCCUGGCAUCUGGGAUAACAUCUCGAAAGGGGUGCUAAUACCGGAUAAGCCCACGAGGUCUUUGGACCUUGUGGGAAAAGGUGGCCUCUGAAUAUGCUACUGUACCAGGAUGAGUCCGCGUCCCAUUAGCUAGUUGGUGGUGUAAUGGACCACCAAGGCGACGAUGGGUAGCUGGUCUGAGAGGAUGAUCAGCCACACUGGAACUGAGACACGGUCCAGACUCCUACGGGAGGCAGCAGUGGGGAAUUUUGCGCAAUGGGGGAAACCCUGACGCAGCAACGCCGCGUGUGUGAUGAAGGCCCUUGGGUCGUAAAGCACUGUCAGAGGGAAAGAAGUGUAGGGGUGCUAAUACCAUCUCUAUUUGACGGUACCCUCAAAGGAAGCACCGGCUAACUCCGUGCCAG